Rosa rugosa (rugosa rose) is the source of this 1263-nucleotide long non-coding RNA. RefSeq lists it as uncharacterized. The record is from RefSeq and is a predicted model, not a curated record. The transcript is spliced from 5 exons. Lineage: Eukaryota; Viridiplantae; Streptophyta; Magnoliopsida; Rosales; Rosaceae.
GCCACGUACUGAGCUAUACUAGAUGCUUCCAUCAGUUUCCUCUUUCUUCUACGACCAUCGGAUUCUUCUCUCUUCUGUUGGUUUCUCUCUUCCUCCCUUCUGCCGGUUUAUUAACCUAUCGCCAUCACUCAGUACGACAUCGAAGAAGUACAGCAACACUACAACCACACAUUUUCGUAGCAGGAGAUAGUUUCUUUGUACGAGAGGUUCUGUCAGCUCGAUCGCAGCGGCGGAGGUUUCAUCUUUGCCGACGAGUUUUUGUCCGUACCGGAAUUCGCACUCAAUCCUCUCUCUCAAUUUUGGCUGGGUGGACGUAGAUACUGGGGGAGAGGGAUUGGAGCAAGACCACACUUGCUCUUAGGAGAUGCUUCUUUAUCAAUGCCCAAUUUCCUUUUCUCAUCAGAGAGAUUUGAUCAAACAACAAAGCUACUUAGUUUUGGGGAGGAAGGGGCAAAAUUCAUGUCUUGGUAGUGAGACUAGCUAAGAGAAACUCUAAGGCCGGGCUUCCAUUUGCGAAAAUCGUUCUCGUUCGGCGGCUCCCGGACAUCCGGGUUAGUCUCUGGCCUCACAGCCGUCAUAGGGUCUGCUGCCGGACGGGUAAAUUGAUGUCUACUGCUCAUGGGGCUCCGUCAGAGGGGGUUUUCGCAGGGCUUUAUCAGAUGGUUUUCGGCUGGGCUAGUGCGAGGCGGUGACUGGACUGUACUGGACAGGCGAUCGAUCCCCGCUGACAGUUCUUGACUGAUGGCGCCAUGGGUCUGGAUCGAUGGCUGUGUGGGUUGUGAGGAUCUAGGCCGGGGUUGGGUUUUUCGUCAUGGCUUAGGUUGUGGUGGCGUGACUCGUGGUGAUUUGGGUCCCGGACGAUGAAAGGUCAUGGUGGCGCGGAUUAUGGUGACGUGGGUCAGAUGGAGCUCGACCUAACUGGUACGUACGACGGGGUGAUGGCGAUGAAGAUAGUGGACUGACCCAAACCAACUUGAUGGCCUUGUGUGGAUUAUCUUUGGUGGCUGCUCUUUUACAAUAAUUUCUUUUUAAGAAGCUAAUGCACGUUAUGUGCACUCUAUGUAUCUCUAGCGCCUCUGGAGUAGUACCAAAGGAGGAUUCCUGUGAUGACUACAUACAUGAAUGUCUAAUGAGUGGGUCUAUUUCUAUGUACCACUAUGAGUACUACCACUAUCUUCUUGACUGUCUGUAGAUGACAAAUGAAGGGUAUGUAACAGCCUAUUCUAGCUUUAGAUGAAUAUAUUGGCACCUGCUCUUUGAGUU